AUUGAAUGUUUUUAGAAAUUUAUUUAAGCGUGAGAUUAAUGAAGAAUUUAACACAACAAAAGACUCAUGAUUUUUCUCAAUUAAUUUGCUAAUCUUUUAAUUUAAUUAAUGUAGAAUGACACAUGUCAUUUUCUUAUAUGAUGAUGUGUCACUCCUAUGGAGAGAGUUGACCAACUUUCAUAUAUAUGAUUUCAGCUGUUGAUAGGUUUAGCAUCAACAUUGUCAUACUUUGAACACAAAACAACAUUUCCAUUGAAAAAGGUUGAAGAAGACAUUAUCAAUCAU
Molecule: small RNA, 285 nt
Filed under: Arabidopsis thaliana (thale cress)
Lineage: Eukaryota; Viridiplantae; Streptophyta; Magnoliopsida; Brassicales; Brassicaceae
Description: ATSL031630
Source: RNAcentral